This 502-nucleotide ribosomal RNA is filed under the name uncultured bacterium. RNAcentral's name for it is "bacterial SSU rRNA". It matches the Rfam family "Bacterial small subunit ribosomal RNA", at positions 15 to 507 of the family's 1533-position model. The record is from RNAcentral.
GAUCAUGGCUCAGGAUGAACGCUAGCUACAGGCUUAACACAUGCAAGUCGAGGGGCAGCAUGAACUUAGCUUGCUAAGUUUGAUGGCGACCGGCGCACGGGUGAGUAACACGUAUCCAACCUGCCGAUGACUCGGGGAUAGCCUUUCGAAAGAAAGAUUAAUACCCGAUGGCAUAGUUCUUCCGCAUGGUAGAACUAUUAAAGAAUUUCGGUCAUCGAUGGGGAUGCGUUCCAUUAGGUUGUUGGCGGGGUAACGGCCCACCAAGCCUUCGAUGGAUAGGGGUUCUGAGAGGAAGGUCCCCCACAUUGGAACUGAGACACGGUCCAAACUCCUACGGGAGGCAGCAGUGAGGAAUAUUGGUCAAUGGACGAGAGUCUGAACCAGCCAAGUAGCGUGAAGGAUGACUGCCCUAUGGGUUGUAAACUUCUUUUAUACGGGAAUAAAGUGAGGCAUGUGUGCCUUUUUGUAUGUACCGUAUGAAUAAGGAUCGGCUAACUCCGUG